AAGCCAGACUCCUACGGGAGGCAGCAGUGGGGAAUAUUGCACAAUGGGGGAAACCCUGAUGCAGCGACGCCGCGUGAGCGAUGAAGUAUUUCGGUCUGUAAAGCUCUAUCAGCAGGGAAGAAAAUGACGGUACCUGACUAAGAAGCCCCGGCUAACUACGUGCCAGCAGCCGCGGUAAUACGUAGGGGGCAAGCGUUAUCCGGAUUUACUGGGUGUAAAGGGAGCGUAGACGGUCCUGCAAGCCAGAUGUGAAAGCCCGGGGCUCAACCCCGGGACUGCAUUUGGAACUGCGUGGCUGGAGUGCAGGAGGGGCAGGCGGAAUUCCUGGUGUAGCGGUGAAAUGCGUAGAUAUCAGGAGGAACACCGGUGGCGAAGGCGGCCUGCUGGACUGCAACUGACGUUGAGGCCCGAAAGCGUGGGGAGCAAACAGGAUUAGAUACCCCCGUA
This 447-nucleotide ribosomal RNA is filed under the name uncultured bacterium. RNAcentral describes it as "bacterial SSU rRNA". It matches the Rfam family "Bacterial small subunit ribosomal RNA", at positions 328 to 792 of the family's 1533-position model. The record is from RNAcentral.